UUGUUUCCAACAUCGUCUCACUUACUAUUGAAAAGUAUUAGCUAAUCCCUGAAUAAGCUUAUCUUAUCAUAUCGUACAUAUAUUCUUGUCUUUGAUAAGAGAAUCAGAAUGGUUCCACCUUGGGACUUCACAUGAUAACAUUGUUAAUAUCCAUGUUUCCUUUCAAUCUUUGUCCGUGUUCUCCUCUGUCGUUUGCCAUAGAGCGCCACCACAAGCCACCUCUUACCCUCUUAUUCCUUCUUCCUCCAAACUUCUCACUUUUCCUCUAUUGUUGAUAAAGGUAAACCCACAUUUACAAUACUUUUUUAUUUUCAAUCUUAUGCAUAUAAUAUUUGUUUUAUUACUGUAAUGAAAGUUUGUUGAGUUUGAAUUUGUGUUAAUGGAGAAAACUCCAUUGUUAGGGUUUGGUAGUGCUUAUUUGGGGUUAUAGGAUGAUAAAUCUAAAUGUGAGUAUUGGGUCUAUUUUAUUAGAAACAAAUAUGUAAAUUUGAUGCAAUAAUUGAUUUCAGACGUUUGUUUAGUCUUGUUGUAAUGUGAAGUCCGUGACAUUUGUAAAAUUUAAGUGUCAUAAUAUAUUUUUAACGCAAGCAUUCAAAAAUGCAAAGAUCUUAAAGUUUAUGAUUUUUACAUACCCAGAUUCAAUGAGAAAGCCAUAGUACUUUUACAACAAAUUGAUAGAAUAAAGUUGUUACUAUAACCUUUGCCUUUUCACUUGUUAGCUCUUAAAAAUUGGUAGUUACUAUAAUUUAUUUUAGGCAAAUAAAAUGGAAGGUUAUGAACCUAUAAAAUUCUUACAUUCUCCCACUUGGCCUAAAAUUUAAUAAAACCAAUACAUAAACAUUAUACAUAAAAUUCUUGUAUCAAAUCUCAAGCAUGUGAAUACAAAAUUAACUUAAUAUAAUAAAACACUAAGUGUGACUUAUAGCUGUCAUGUAUUAUUAUUUUUCAAAACACACUUCCUUUGAUAUAAGCUCAAACACUAGUGCUCUACUAUACAAGUACUUAAGCACCACAUAAAAUAUCAUUAUGAUCUCGUAAAUGUUUCUAAGAUAUUCUAGUUAUAAAUCAUAAUUAAACGUGCACAAUAACUGGAAACAAAUUAUAAAGAUUCAUAAUUGUAUAAUCAUUAUAUGUACAUUUUCCUUAAAUGUAUUUGGUUGUAAAUUUUCAAUGACUUAGCAAUAGUGUCAACUAUUGGAACCAAGUUGGUUUUCCACGUAUAGUUUUGAUGUCAACAAAAGUAUUUUACGAGAACAAUAAAUUUGGAUUAAUGAUUUUAUUAAGUAUGCAAAAAUUGGAAGAAGAAAAUUAGAGGAAGAUACCAGAGGAAAGUCACUAGAGGAAGUGACUAAAUGAUGAGAUCAGAUGAAUGCCUUUGAAGCUUUUGCAUGUCUCUGAUGUUCACAAAUUCAGCAUUCCUCUAAAGAGUUCAUAUCAAGGUAUAAUUAAUUCGGAAGAGAUUGUUCAAAUAACAAAUUCAAAGCUCACAAUCCGCUGAUCAAAAUGGUGCAAAAGACUCCAAAUGUUGCCUCUGAUAUGCAGCUUCUAAUGUUGUACUGACUCUGAAGUUUCAACUAGAAGAUUUGCCCAAUGCCACUAAUUAUAAGUCAUGCAAUUAUGCCUUUGACUAUCAUUAUUCAAGAAACACAACACACAAGAAAGUCAACGCCUCUGAUGGAAAGUCAAUGACUAAAAUUGAAAGAAUUAAGUAUGAAAAGAAUACUUAGUCGAGUCAAAAACUUUUGAAGACCCAAGAACAAUCUGAAUCCAUUCAACUCAAAUCAAGCAAGAGUAUGAAAGAUGAUUCAUGUUUUUAAAGACAUUAUAAAAUAAGAUUUCAUUAAGAUUUAUAACUGAAGAAAAUCUUUUACCAAGUUGAAAAGAAGGUAUGAUCAAGAGUUGAAGAAGAUAUGAUCAAGAUCAUAUCAACAAGAAAAUAUGAAUUAUUUACAAGAAGAUUUGAUCAAGAUUUAUCUACAAGAAGAUUUUAUCAAGAUUUAUCACAAGAAGAUAUGAAUUGCUUACAAAAAGAUUUGAUCAAUAUUUAUCACAAGAAGAUAUGAAUUAUUUACAAGAAGAUUUGAUCAAGAUUUAUCUAUAAGAAGAUAUGAUCAAGAAUUGUUUACAAGAAGAAACACUCACAAGAAGAUACAUUUAUUUUUGCAAAGAUAUUAUUCAGAUUUUCCAAGGACAAAGGAGAAACCCUAACUUAUUCUAUAAAUAAAUACUCAAGGCUGAAGAAGAAAAUAAGAGUAUUCACAAGCACAAAGUUUCCUAAUAGUUCAUAAGGUUAAGGUCUAGAGAAACACUUGCUCAAUGGAACUAUUUUCUAAGUGUUUUCUAAUGUGAGAGUCAUUGCUACAAUCAACUUGUUAUAAGCAAACCAACUUGUUCAAAACUCUUGUAACCCAGCUCGAUAGUGGCUUUCGUGUUCCUCGAGCAAUUUGUAGGUUUUUAGGUUGUGUUGAGAAGACUUGGCUUGAAGAGUAGGUGUUUGUGUUCCUAAAAAAUUCUUUAGGUGUUAGAUUGUUUUGAUAAGGCUGCUUGUAGGGUCAUAUGUUGUGUAAUUCAUGUUUUGAAUUAGUGGAUUAAAUCUUUCUAUGUGAGAGGAUUGGACGUAGCGACCAAGUUGGUGGUGAACCAAGAUAAAUUCUUAUGUCACUUUAAUUAUGUAAUUCUUGUUUUAUUUUUGUAUCUGAUCACUUAAACCGAUUGCUACUACUUUUAUUCUAAGUAAGUCACUGAACCCGAACUAGUUUUAAAUAAAUUAAAAAAAGAAUCCAACUUAGUCAAACACAAUUCAACUCCACUUCUCAUGUUUGCACCUUCAUCAACUACUCUAAGCCGUGAAACAAAAUUUUGAAGCCAUAGUGCUUGUUGAAGUAGCAAUAAAAAUUUACAAGGAAAGGGUGUUUGAAUUGUAAAUUCACCCUUUUACAAUUUUUUGUUAAAACUGUAAAAUUUUAACUCAAGAUUGAUCUUGGUUGUGAAAACAGAAAACAAAGAACGUUCUUGGUUAUGAAACCAGAAAAAGAAGAACGUUCUUGGUUAGUAAUAUAACCAAUGUCAAGUGAGUGAUAAAUAAAUGGAGAUAAGGGAAAAAGAAUUCACACAUCAAUAUAUCAUGGUUCACCAAACUCAGGCUAGUCUAGUCCUUACAACCGUGAGAUUUUCACUAUGUGCUUCAGAACCAAGAAUGUUCUCCUUCACACCUUUUCUUUUGUUCACACCUGGAUCAAUUACAAUCUUCACCUUUCAAACUAGAAAGGAUUUUUACAAUCACCUUUCAGCCUUGAAAGAAUUUUUACAAACACACUCAAUCUAACAUAAAAGAUAGACUUGAGUUACAAAUGAUGUGUAUGAUAAAAGUGGUUGGGAUCUUGAAACUUCUCAACACUUGUUUGAGAUAAAUGAAAGAUAAGCUCAGUAAAUAAUGAUUCACAAAUAUAGUGAAGAGAGCUGGAGUUUGCUUGAAGAGUUUUUCACUUGUUCUUACUUGUACAAGUAUUGGUAGAUUUGUAAAUUGAACUUUUGCCUUCAUCUUCCAAUUGAUCUUCAAUUUAUAGAUAUUAAAAGGCUUUGAAUAUUCAUUUUAAAAUGAAUAUAGUCGUUGGGCACACUUCCCAAGUGUUAGAUAUAUUUUGACUUGUUCUUACUUGUACAAGUAUUGGUAGAUUUGUAAAUUGAACUUUUGCCUUCAUCUUCCAAUUGAUCUUCAAUUUAUAGAUAUUAAAAGGCUUUGAAUAUUCAUUUUAAAAUGAAUAUAGUCGUUGGGCACACUUCCCAAGUGUUAGAUAUAUUUUAAAGCAAUUAAACAUGUGUUUGUUUGGUGUCCAGAACGUCAUUGACAAUCGAAGAACGUUCUUGCUUUGGGUUUGAUAGAAAACGUGAGUGAGUGAGUGAUGAGCUGUCAAC
This 3915-nucleotide long non-coding RNA is filed under the name Cicer arietinum (chickpea). RNAcentral's name for it is "long non-coding RNA (CARI_LNC002013)". Lineage: Eukaryota; Viridiplantae; Streptophyta; Magnoliopsida; Fabales; Fabaceae. The record is from RNAcentral.